RNAcentral lists this ribosomal RNA (197 nucleotides) under Streptomyces sp. M1013. RNAcentral's name for it is "partial 23S ribosomal RNA". It matches the Rfam family "Bacterial large subunit ribosomal RNA", at positions 2735 to 2925 of the family's 2925-position model. Lineage: Bacteria; Bacillati; Actinomycetota; Actinomycetes; Kitasatosporales; Streptomycetaceae. The record is from RNAcentral.
GCAUGGCUGGUUGGCUACGUUCGGGAGGGAUAACCGCUGAAAGCAUCUAAGCGGGAAGCCUGCUUCGAGAUGAGGACUCCCACCCCCUUGAGGGGUUAAGGCUCCCAGUAGACGACUGGGUUGAUAGGCCGGAUCUGGAAGCACCGUGAGGUGUGGAGGUGACCGGUACUAAUAGGCCGAGGGCUUGUCCUCAGUUG